AAGUAAUUUCACUAAUUUUUUUUUCAGCAGAUGAUGAUCUGUGGUAAUACUUCUUGAUGUUCUCUGAGAAAUCUAUAUUACAAAUUGAGAUCAAGUUCUGAUGAAAAACAGGAGCACAUAGGACAAAGAAAAGUAGACAGCGUUUUGGCCUUGAGAUACCAGUGUGAAAUGGAAGAAAAACCUACCAUAAAGUGUACUACCUACCUGCAUAACCUUGAGGACAAUUACAGAUUACAUCUGAAUUCCAAGGAUCCUGAUAACAGGA
Long non-coding RNA from Phyllostomus discolor (pale spear-nosed bat), 265 nucleotides. RefSeq lists it as uncharacterized. NCBI's taxonomy places the organism in Eukaryota, Metazoa, Chordata, Mammalia, Chiroptera, Phyllostomidae. The transcript is spliced from 3 exons. The record is from RefSeq and is a predicted model, not a curated record.